This 1041-nucleotide ribosomal RNA is filed under the name Salmonella enterica. RNAcentral describes it as "bacterial SSU rRNA". It matches the Rfam family "Bacterial small subunit ribosomal RNA", at positions 1 to 1031 of the family's 1533-position model. The record is from RNAcentral. Lineage: Bacteria; Pseudomonadati; Pseudomonadota; Gammaproteobacteria; Enterobacterales; Enterobacteriaceae.
AAAUUGAAGAGUUUGAUCAUGGCUCAGAUUGAACGCUGGCGGCAGGCCUAACACAUGCAAGUCGAACGGUAACAGGAAGCAGCUUGCUGCUUUGCUGACGAGUGGCGGACGGGUGAGUAAUGUCUGGGAAACUGCCUGAUGGAGGGGGAUAACUACUGGAAACGGUGGCUAAUACCGCAUAACGUCGCAAGACCAAAGAGGGGGACCUUCGGGCCUCUUGCCAUCAGAUGUGCCCAGAUGGGAUUAGCUUGUUGGUGAGGUAACGGCUCACCAAGGCGACGAUCCCUAGCUGGUCUGAGAGGAUGACCAGCCACACUGGAACUGAGACACGGUCCAGACUCCUACGGGAGGCAGCAGUGGGGAAUAUUGCACAAUGGGCGCAAGCCUGAUGCAGCCAUGCCGCGUGUAUGAAGAAGGCCUUCGGGUUGUAAAGUACUUUCAGCGGGGAGGAAGGUGUUGUGGUUAAUAACCGCAGCAAUUGACGUUACCCGCAGAAGAAGCACCGGCUAACUCCGUGCCAGCAGCCGCGGUAAUACGGAGGGUGCAAGCGUUAAUCGGAAUUACUGGGCGUAAAGCGCACGCAGGCGGUCUGUCAAGUCGGAUGUGAAAUCCCCGGGCUCAACCUGGGAACUGCAUUCGAAACUGGCAGGCUUGAGUCUUGUAGAGGGGGGUAGAAUUCCAGGUGUAGCGGUGAAAUGCGUAGAGAUCUGGAGGAAUACCGGUGGCGAAGGCGGCCCCCUGGACAAAGACUGACGCUCAGGUGCGAAAGCGUGGGGAGCAAACAGGAUUAGAUACCCUGGUAGUCCACGCCGUAAACGAUGUCUACUUGGAGGUUGUGCCCUUGAGGCGUGGCUUCCGGAGCUAACGCGUUAAGUAGACCGCCUGGGGAGUACGGCCGCAAGGUUAAAACUCAAAUGAAUUGACGGGGGCCCGCACAAGCGGUGGAGCAUGUGGUUUAAUUCGAUGCAACGCGAAGAACCUUACCUGGUCUUGACAUCCACGGAAGUUUUCAGAGAUGAGAAUGUGCCUUCGGGAACCGUG